RNAcentral lists this ribosomal RNA (241 nucleotides) under uncultured bacterium. Its description in RNAcentral is "partial 16S ribosomal RNA". It matches the Rfam family "Bacterial small subunit ribosomal RNA", at positions 104 to 334 of the family's 1533-position model. The record is from RNAcentral.
UGGCGGGACGGGGUGGAGUAACGCGUGGGUAACCUGCCUCAUACAGGGGGAUAACAGUUAGAAAUGACUGCUAAUACCGCAUAAGACCACAGCACCGCAUGGUGCAGGGGUAAAAACUCCGGUGGUAUGAGAUGGACCCGCGUCUGAUUAGGUAGUUGGUGGGGUAACGGCCUACCAAGCCGACGAUCAGUAGCCGACCUGAGAGGGUGACCGGCCACAUUGGGACUGAGACACGGCCCAA